Molecule: ribosomal RNA, 487 nt
Filed under: Neofabraea sp. FL-2010o
Lineage: Eukaryota; Fungi; Ascomycota; Leotiomycetes; Helotiales; Dermateaceae
Description: eukaryotic LSU rRNA
Rfam family: 5.8S ribosomal RNA (bases 180-333)
Source: RNAcentral
GAACCUGCGGAGGGAUCAUUACAGAGUUCAUACCCUUCGGGGUAGAUCUCCCACCCGUGUCAUCACACCUAUGUUGCUUUGGCGGGCCCGCCUCGGCCACCGGCUCCGGCUGGUGAGCGCCCGCCAGAGGACCCCAAACUCUGAAAWUUAGNGUCGUAUGAGUACUAUAUAAUAGUUAAAACUUUCAACAACGGAUCUGUUGGUUCAGGCAUCGAUGAAGAACGCAGCGAAAUGCGAUAAGUAAUGUGAAUUGCAGAAUUCAGUGAAUCAUCGAAUCUUUGAACGCACAUUGCGCCCCUUGGUAUUCAGGGGGGCAUGCCUGUAAGAGCGUCAUUACAACCAUCAAGCUGUGCUCGGUAUUGGGCGUACCCGGCGACGGGGUGCCCUAAAAUCAGCGGCGGKGCCGUCUGGCUGUAAGGGUAGUAAAUCUCUCGCUAAGGAUGCNCGGUGGAUGCUCGCCAGAACCCCCCAAUUUCACAGGUGACCU